RNAcentral lists this ribosomal RNA (783 nucleotides) under uncultured bacterium. Its description in RNAcentral is "bacterial SSU rRNA". It matches the Rfam family "Bacterial small subunit ribosomal RNA", at positions 8 to 796 of the family's 1533-position model. The record is from RNAcentral.
AGAGUUUGAUCAUGGCUCAGGAUGAACGCUGGCGGCGUGCCUAACACAUGCAAGUCGAGCGAAGAUAGAGGAAGUACUUGUACAGAAUUUAUCUUAGCGGCGGACGGGUGAGUAACACGUGAGUAACCUGCCUUUCACUGGGGAAUAACAUCGAGAAAUCGGUGCUAAUACCGCAUAAUGUCAUAGGAUCACAUGGUUUUAUGACCAAAGGAGUAAUUCGGUGAAAGAUGGACUCGCGUCCGAUUAGGUAGUUGGUGAGGUAACGGCUCACCAAGCCCUCAAUCGGUAGCCGAACUGAGAGGUUGAUCGGCCACAUUGGGACUGAGACACGGCCCAGAUUCCUACGGGAGGCAGCAGUGGGGAAUAUUGGGCAAUGGGGGAAACCCUGACCCAGCAACGCCGCGUGAAGGAAGAAGGUCUUCGGAUUGUAAACUUCUUUGAUCAGGGACGAAGAAAUGACGGUACCUGAAGAACAAGCCACGGCUAACUACGUGCCAGCAGCCGCGGUAAUACGUAGGUGGCGAGCGUUAUCCGGAUUUACUGGGUGUAAAGGGCGUGUAGGCGGUUUUGCAAGUCAGAUGUGAAAUUCCCGGGCUUAACUCGGGCGCUGCAUCUGAAACUGUGAGACUUGAGUACUGGAGAGGAUAGUGGAAUUCCUAGUGUAGCGGUAAAAUGCGUAGAUAUUAGGAGGAACACCGGUGGCGAAGGCGGCUAUCUGGACAGUAACUGACGCUGAGGCGCGAAAGCGUGGGGAGCAAACAGGAUUAGAUACCCUAGUAGUCC